This 926-nucleotide ribosomal RNA is filed under the name uncultured Amphibacillus sp. Its description in RNAcentral is "bacterial SSU rRNA". It matches the Rfam family "Bacterial small subunit ribosomal RNA", at positions 28 to 919 of the family's 1533-position model. Lineage: Bacteria; Bacillati; Bacillota; Bacilli; Caryophanales; Bacillaceae. The record is from RNAcentral.
GAUGAACGCUGGCGGCGUGCCUAAUACAUGCAAGUCGAGCGCGUGAAACUAAAUGGAUCUCUUCGGAGUGACGCUUAGUGGAUCGAGCGGCGGAUGGGUGAGUAACACGUGGGCAACCUGCCUAUAAGACUGGGAUAACUUACGGAAACGUGAGCUAAUACCGGAUGAAACCUUUUGUCACCUGGCAAGAGGAUGAAAGAUGGCGUAAGCUAUCACUUAUAGAUGGGCCCGCGGCGCAUUAGCUAGUUGGUGAGAUAAAAGCUCACCAAGGCAACGAUGCGUAGCCGACCUGAGAGGGUGAUCGGCCACACUGGGACUGAGACACGGCCCAGACUCCUACGGGAGGCAGCAGUAGGGAAUCUUCCGCAAUGGACGAAAGUCUGACGGAGCAACGCCGCGUGAACGAAGAAGGUUCUCGGAUCGUAAAGUUCUGUUGUUAGGGAAGAACACGUACCAUUCGAAUAGGGUGGUACCUUGACGGUACCUAACGAGAAAGCCCCGGCUAACUACGUGCCAGCAGCCGCGGUAAUACGUAGGGGGCAAGCGUUGUCCGGAAUUAUUGGGCGUAAAGCGCGCGCAGGCGGUUCUUUAAGUCUGAUGUGAAAUCUUGCGGCUCAACCGCAAGCGGUCAUUGGAAACUGGAGAACUUGAGGACAGAAGAGGAGAGUGGAAUUCCACGUGUAGCGGUGAAAUGCGUAGAGAUGUGGAGGAACACCAGUGGCGAAGGCGACUCUCUGGUCUGUAACUGACGCUGAGGUGCGAAAGCGUGGGUAGCGAACAGGAUUAGAUACCCUGGUAGUCCACGCCGUAAACGAUGAGUGCUAGGUGUUAGGGGGUUUCCGCCCCUUAGUGCUGGCGUUAACGCAUUAAGCACUCCGCCUGGGGAGUACGGCCGCAAGGCUGAAACUCAAAAGAAUUGACGGGGA